UACGGGGGGAGCAAGCGUUGUUCGGAUUUACUGGGCGUAAAGGGCGCGUAGGCGGCCACCGCAAGUCGACUGUGAAAUCUCCGGGCUUAACCCGGAAAGGUCAGCCGAUACUGCGGGGCUAGAGUGCAGAAGGGGCAACUGGAAUUCUCGGUGUAGCGGUGAAAUGCGUAGAUAUCUGGAGGAACACCGGUGGCGAAGGCGGCAUUCUGGACCGAAACUGACGCUGAGGCGCUAAAGCCAGGGGAGCAAACGGG
Molecule: ribosomal RNA, 254 nt
Filed under: uncultured bacterium
Lineage: Bacteria
Description: partial 16S ribosomal RNA
Rfam family: Bacterial small subunit ribosomal RNA
Source: RNAcentral